This 74-nucleotide transfer RNA is filed under the name Spirochaetaceae bacterium. Its description in RNAcentral is "tRNA-Ala". It matches the Rfam family "tRNA". Rfam says of the family: Transfer RNA (tRNA) molecules are approximately 80 nucleotides in length. Their secondary structure includes four short double-helical elements and three loops (D, anti-codon, and T loops). Further hydrogen bonds mediate the characteristic L-shaped molecular structure. tRNAs have two regions of fundamental functional importance: the anti-codon, which is responsible for specific mRNA codon recognition, and the 3' end, to which the tRNAs corresponding amino acid is attached (by aminoacyl-tRNA synthetases). tRNAs cope with the degeneracy of the genetic code in two manners: having more than one tRNA (with a specific anti-codon) for a particular amino acid; and 'wobble' base-pairing, i.e. permitting non-standard base-pairing at the 3rd anti-codon position. Lineage: Bacteria; Pseudomonadati; Spirochaetota; Spirochaetia; Spirochaetales; Spirochaetaceae. The record is from RNAcentral.
GGGGGUGUAGCUCAGUUGGCUAGAGCGUUUGAAUGGCAUUCAAAAGGCCAGGGGUUCAAUUCCCCUCAUCUCCA